This 638-nucleotide ribosomal RNA is filed under the name uncultured Gammaproteobacteria bacterium. RNAcentral's name for it is "bacterial SSU rRNA". It matches the Rfam family "Bacterial small subunit ribosomal RNA", at positions 850 to 1489 of the family's 1533-position model. Lineage: Bacteria; Pseudomonadati; Pseudomonadota; Gammaproteobacteria. The record is from RNAcentral.
AGCUAACGCGUGAAGNUCGCCGCCUGGGGAGUACGGUCGCAAGAUUAAAACUCAAAGGAAUUGACGGGGACCCGCACAAGCGGUGGAUGAUGUGGAUUAAUUCGAUGCAACGCGAAAAACCUUACCUACCCUUGACAUGCCAGGAACCCUGCUGAGAGGUGGGGGUGCUCGAAAGAGAGCCUGGGCACAGGUGCUGCAUGGCUGUCGUCAGCUCGUGUCGUGAGAUGUUGGGUUAAGUCCCGCAACGAGCGCAACCCUUGUCAUUAGUUGCCAUCAUUUAGUUGGGCACUCUAAUGAGACUGCCGGUGACAAACCGGAGGAAGGUGGGGAUGACGUCAAGUCCUCAUGGCCCUUAUGGGUAGGGCUUCACACGUCAUACAAUGGUCGGUACAGAGGGUUGCCAAGCCGCGAGGUGGAGCCAAUCCCAGAAAGCCGAUCGUAGUCCGGAUCGUAGUCUGCAACUCGACUGCGUGAAGUCGGAAUCGCUAGUAAUCGUGGAUCAGCAUGCCACGGUGAUACGUUCCCGGGUCUUGUACACACCGCCCGUCACACCAUGGGAGUGGGUUUCACCAGAAGUAGGUAGCCUAACCGCGAGGGGGCGCUUACCACGGUGGGAUUCAUGACUGGGGUGAAGUCGU